This 454-nucleotide long non-coding RNA is filed under the name Homo sapiens (human). RNAcentral describes it as "HSALNT0306978". Lineage: Eukaryota; Metazoa; Chordata; Mammalia; Primates; Hominidae. The record is from RNAcentral.
AUUUUCUCUUGCUGCCGCCAGGUAAGAAGUGCCCUUCACCUUCUGAGGCCUCCCCAGCCAUGUGGAACUAGCCAUCUUUCUCCUCUCUUUUAACAAAGCACCCUCGCUGUUGGUCCCUGCAAGCUUCAAAGAAUAAAAGGCAAUGCAGAGAAGGCUGGAGAUCAGGAGAGCAAUGGUGUAUUUCCAGUUUGAGUCCGAAGGCCUGGGAGUCAGCAGAGCUGCUGGUAUAUUUAUGCCCAAAGGCCAAUAAACUCAAGACCCAGGAAAAGCCGAUGUUUCCAUUUGAGUCCAAAGUUCUGGAAGCUAAAAGUCCAAGAUCAAGGUGUUGGCAGAGUUGAUUCCUUCCAAGGACUGAGGGAGAAUUUGUUCCACGCCUCUGUCCUGGUUUCUUGUGGUUUGCUGGCAAUCUUUGGCAUUCCUUGGCUUAUAGAUACAUCAUCCCAAUAUUUGCCUA